CCUACGGGUGGCAGCAGUGAGGAAUAUUGGUCAAUGGACGAGAGUCUGAACCAGCCAAGUAGCGUGAAGGAUGACUGCCCUAUGGGUUGUAAACUUCUUUUAUAUGGGAAUAAAAUGUUCCACGUGUGGGAUUUUGUAUGUACCAUAUGAAUAAGGAUCGGCUAACUCCGUUCCAGCAGCCGCGGUAAUACGGAGGAUCCGAGCGUUAUCCGGAUUUAUUGGGUUUAAAGGGAGCGUAGGUGGAUUGUUAAGUCAGUUGUGAAAGUUUGCGGCUCAACCGUAAAAUUGCAGUUGAAACUGGCAGUCUUGAGUACAGUAGAGGUGGGCGGAAUGCGUGGUGUAGCGGUGAAAUGCUUAGAUAUCACGCAGAACUCCGAUUGCGAAGGCAGUUCACUGGACUGCAACUGACACUGAGGCUCGAAAGUGUGGGUAUCAAACAGGAUUAGAUACCCUAGUAGUC
This 460-nucleotide ribosomal RNA is filed under the name uncultured bacterium. RNAcentral describes it as "partial 16S ribosomal RNA". It matches the Rfam family "Bacterial small subunit ribosomal RNA", at positions 338 to 795 of the family's 1533-position model. The record is from RNAcentral.